UAAUACGAAGGGAGCUAGCGUUGUUCGGAAUCACUGGGCGUAAAGCGCACGUAGGCGGAUGUGUCAGUCAGGGGUGAAAUCCCGGAGCUCAACUUCGGAACUGCCUUUGAUACAGCACGUCUUGAGUCCGAUAGAGGUGGGUGGAAUUCCUAGUGUAGAGGUGAAAUUCGUAGAUAUUAGGAAGAACACCGGUGGCGAAGGCGGCCCACUGGAUCGGUACUGACGCUGAGGUGCGAAAGCGUGGGGAGCAAACAG
Molecule: ribosomal RNA, 255 nt
Filed under: uncultured prokaryote
Description: partial 16S ribosomal RNA
Rfam family: Bacterial small subunit ribosomal RNA
Source: RNAcentral